GACGAACGCUGGCGGCGUGCUUAACACAUGCAAGUCGAACGGUGAAGCCUCUUCGGGGGUGGAUCAGUGGCGAACGGGUGAGUAACACGUGGGCAAUCUGCCCUGCACUUCGGGACAAGCCCUGGAAACGGGGUCUAAUACCGGAUAGGACCUGGGGGCGCAUGCUUCUGGGUGGAAAGCUUUGGCGGUGCAGGAUGGGCCCGCGGCCUAUCAGCUUGUUGGUGGGGUGAUGGCCUACCAAGGCGACGACGGGUAGCCGGCCUGAGAGGGUGACCGGCCACACUGGGACUGAGACACGGCCCAGACUCCUACGGGAGGCAGCAGUGGGGAAUAUUGCACAAUGGGCGCAAGCCUGAUGCAGCGACGCCGCGUGGGGGAUGACGGCCUUCGGGUUGUAAACCUCUUUCAGCAGGGAAGAAGCUUUCGGGUGACGGUACCUGCAGAAGAAGCACCGGCUAACUACGUGCCAGCCGCCGCAGUAACAC
This 485-nucleotide ribosomal RNA is filed under the name uncultured bacterium. RNAcentral's name for it is "bacterial SSU rRNA". It matches the Rfam family "Bacterial small subunit ribosomal RNA", at positions 28 to 526 of the family's 1533-position model. The record is from RNAcentral.